Melospiza melodia melodia is the source of this 625-nucleotide long non-coding RNA. RefSeq lists it as uncharacterized. The transcript is spliced from 3 exons. The record is from RefSeq and is a predicted model, not a curated record. NCBI's taxonomy places the organism in Eukaryota, Metazoa, Chordata, Aves, Passeriformes, Passerellidae.
UGAGUUGUAGCUUUGAGGCCUUUACAAGUGAUUGGGGGAAAUUUUGUACCCAUGAUCAAUGGGUGUCUUGAUUCUUACAGGACUGAGCUGGAAGACAAAUCCUCAAAUUUUUAGUGAUUACUCUUCCAGAGUCAAACACUGCUUGUGUCAGAGUAUAAAACCACUCAGUAAAAUCCAGCAGACCAGCACACGUGCUCUGGUGACAUCUGCCUCCAAGGGAAUGUGUCACACUUGUAGGGAAGAAAUACCAGAUUCAUGACAACAUCUUAACUGUGCCUAGCAUGGUACUACAGCCACAGCAGCUGACAGGCACGAGAGGACUUCAUGCUCUGAAGGGUGACAUGCUCUGGCAUUUUAAAGAAUAAAGUAAAGUAGAAUGAUGCUCCAACUGAAAAAAGAAGUGGGAAUGCAGGACUGCUAGAUCAUCUUGCAGUGUGAAUGAUGAGAUGAUCAGCCCAAAGUUCAGUAUGUCUUGCAGAGCAUUAAAUGUAAAGCUUUUAUGGAUUUGUUCCAAUACCACCUAAAAAUAGAGGAAAAAUCUCUCCAGGAUUUUAGAAGGCCUUGUUAUUCGAGGCUGUGAAUUUGCAUCUCUUUAUCACUGGCUGGAUUUGCACCCCUCUCCUGA